GCCACAGCCACAGCCACAGCCACAUCAGAUCCAAGCUGUGUCUGUGACCUACACCACGGUUCACGGCAACACCGGAUCCUUAAUCCACCGAGUGGGGGCAGGGAUCGAACCUGUGUCCUCAUGGAUACUAGUUGGCCUUGUUACCGCUGAGCCGCAGUAGAAACUCUGGACAAGUAACUGCUUCAAAGAGACUUUCUUCUUAGGAUCUCACCUUUGCUGCAAAGAAAAACCCAAACAGGCUUUGUGAUUUUAGCCUGUUGUCCCCCCUCCCAGCAGCCUCUAAAGGGUUUAUUUUUGAGAUUCAUUUUUCCCCGAGUAGGAAUCAUGCCUUAGAAAACAAGUCAUUAUCAUGCGUUUGUGUUUUAAAUGACCUGGUGUUCUCACUCUGCUCCGUUUAUAAUAUCUUCCGUUCAUUCAUUCCACAAACAGAUGCUCUCCGCCAUCUACAGACAGAGAAUCCUGUUGUGCUGGAGCCAGAAGGGCCGGUUUCGUGGGAGAGCUGGAAACGGACCUGGAACCUCAAGGUUGGGAGAGGGGGAACUCGGGUGAGGACCAAGGGCAGGGCAGGUAGAAAGUGGGCCCGGAAAUUAACACGCCCCCUCCGGUCAAUCAACAAGCACUUCCACGUGGUUCAGGCCCCCUGCUCGGCUCUGGCCUGGAGCCGCAAGCAGGUACAGGUGAUUCCAAUAGCGUGAGCGUGGGAGAAACGCGGGCGUCUAAGGGAAGGGCUCUGGCUCGGAGACGAGGCAGGGCUGCCAGGAAGAGAGUGACAUUGCAGCCGAGACGGGAAGAAGGUGUGGGUGAUGGCUUCAAGCAAAGGGAAUGUCCGUUUUGACAUCCCCACGUCAAGGGAGGGGCUGCAGGAACGUCCAUCCCUUUCCCAGCUCCCCCCAGGCCCGCAGGAGGAAGCCUCAGCUGGGAGCCAGCCCAACACCUCUGACACCGGCCGCCCUGCCUUUGGGCGAAGAGGGAGCCGGCCUCGGGCGCGGAGGCUUCCGCAGGCGCCGGUGUCCAGCUGGGAUUUGCUCACACGUCCUUGCACUGGUGUUUAUGGCAGCCCUCCGUUGACGGAGCCGAAGCCACGAAGAUGUUCCGUGUGGUGUUAUUUACAGCAGGAGGGGAGAAUCGGAAAUAACACAGGGGUCGGCAAUGACUGGACUGUUAAAAUAACUCCCACCACUUCCUUCAUUGGCGUGAACACUGAGGACUAUCAGGUCCCAAGAGAACCAAGGUUUUUUCCUCUUGUUGAAAGAAGAAUCCCUCAGCCCCGAAAAUAACGGCCAGCAUAUAAAGGUGUUUGGUAUGUAUUCUGGGGAUGAAUGAAUAAAUAAUGCUGUGAAAUUAAUUUCCA
RNAcentral lists this long non-coding RNA (1351 nucleotides) under Sus scrofa (pig). Its description in RNAcentral is "lncRNA (ENSSSCG00050044274.1)". Lineage: Eukaryota; Metazoa; Chordata; Mammalia; Artiodactyla; Suidae. The record is from RNAcentral.